This 478-nucleotide ribosomal RNA is filed under the name uncultured bacterium. RNAcentral describes it as "partial 16S ribosomal RNA". It matches the Rfam family "Bacterial small subunit ribosomal RNA", at positions 28 to 523 of the family's 1533-position model. The record is from RNAcentral.
GACGAGCGCUGGCGGCGUGCUUAACACAUGCAAGUCGAACGGUAAGGCCCUUCGGGGUACACGAGUGGCGAACGGGUGAGUAACACGUGGGUGAUCUGCCCUGCACUUCGGGAUAAGCCGGGGAAACUGGGUCUAAUACCGGAUAGGACCCUGGGAUGCAUGUCCUGGGGUGGAAAGCUUUUGCGGUGUGGGAUGGGCCCGCGGCCUAUCAGUUUGUUGGUGGGGUGAUGGCCUACCAAGGCGACGACGGGUAGCCGGCCUGAGAGGGUGACCGGCCACACUGGGACUGGGAUACGGCCCAGACUCCUACGGGAGGCAGCAGUGGGGAAUAUUGCACAAUGGGCGCAAGCCUGAUGCAGCGACGCCGCGUGAGGGAUGACGGCCUUCGGGUUGUAAACCUCUUUCAGCACCGACGAAGCGCAAGUGACGGUAGGUGCAGAAGAAGGACCGGCCAGCUACGUGCCAGCAGCCGCAGUAA